RNAcentral lists this transfer RNA (91 nucleotides) under Oscillospiraceae bacterium. RNAcentral's name for it is "tRNA-Ser". It matches the Rfam family "tRNA". From Rfam's summary of the family: Transfer RNA (tRNA) molecules are approximately 80 nucleotides in length. Their secondary structure includes four short double-helical elements and three loops (D, anti-codon, and T loops). Further hydrogen bonds mediate the characteristic L-shaped molecular structure. tRNAs have two regions of fundamental functional importance: the anti-codon, which is responsible for specific mRNA codon recognition, and the 3' end, to which the tRNAs corresponding amino acid is attached (by aminoacyl-tRNA synthetases). tRNAs cope with the degeneracy of the genetic code in two manners: having more than one tRNA (with a specific anti-codon) for a particular amino acid; and 'wobble' base-pairing, i.e. permitting non-standard base-pairing at the 3rd anti-codon position. The record is from RNAcentral. RNAcentral also lists the same sequence under 1 other name. Lineage: Bacteria; Bacillati; Bacillota; Clostridia; Eubacteriales; Oscillospiraceae.
GGAGGGGUAAGCCUAAUUGGUAAGGCCCCGGUUUGCUAAACCGGCAGUAACCCGAAAGGGCGUAUGGGUUCGAGUCCCAUCCCCUUCGCCA